Molecule: transfer RNA, 58 nt
Filed under: Trichinella pseudospiralis
Lineage: Eukaryota; Metazoa; Nematoda; Enoplea; Trichinellida; Trichinellidae
Description: tRNA-Glu
Source: RNAcentral
GGUCUUCUGGUGAAUUAUUAUCACAACGAAAUUUCAAUUCGUAGUAAAUUAAGACUAA